This 733-nucleotide long non-coding RNA is filed under the name Marmota monax (woodchuck). The record is from RNAcentral. Lineage: Eukaryota; Metazoa; Chordata; Mammalia; Rodentia; Sciuridae.
CUAAAUUGUCAUUGUUUCUACCUUAGAUGUUACCAAGAAGAGAAGAAAUGUGAUCUCUGCUAUUUCAUGAUUGGCAUUUGCUAUUAUUUUUGAUAUUAUAUUUAGUCCAAGGGAAUUGCUGAUUUGAGUUAGUCCUGAAUCUAUAAAUCCACUUAACUGGGCACAUACACACCCCAGGCCAGUGAUUUCUUGCCUCAGAUUCUUCCUGACACUUACUAUCCACAUUACUAUUAGUACACUUAACAUACACUGUCUGUAUCAUCAUACACUUAAAUUAAUAAAUGAGGACCACUGUCAACCCCUUCUCAUUGUGAAACUUUGGUAUUUCUUACAGGGUACCUUUCGGACCAGGCAGGGGUAUCAGUGUCAUUUUGAAUGUUAAAUGUUAGUGAAGCUCAAUUUUUUUUCUUUUGGACACUGAAACUAGAGUGGUAUUCCUCAGACUGGUUUUUUUGGCCACCUGCAUCAGAAUUACUUGGGGAUGCUGGUUAAAAUAGUAAUUUCUGGGCUCUCCCUACACCUUCUUCAGGUGACUGAAGUUGACACUUGCUGGCUAGUUUAGAGCUUGGUGACAUUAUGUGGUUUAGAUCAUUUAAAACAUUAGGGAGGGCUGGGGAUGUGGCUCAAGUGGUAGCGCACUCGCCUGGCAUGCGUGUGGCUCGGGUUCGAUCCUCAGCACCACAUACAAAAAAAGAUGUUGUGUCCGCUGAAAACUAAAAAAUAAAUAUUAAAA